GACGAACGCUGGCGGCGUGCUUAACACAUGCAAGUCGAACGGAAAGGCUUCUUUCGGGGUACUCGUGUGGCGAAAGGGUGAGUAAGACGUGCGUAACCUGCCCUUGACUUCGGGAUAACUUCAGGAAACUGGGGCUAAUACUGGUACGGCAUCCUUACUUCAUGGAGGGGGUUGGAAAGCUACGGUGGUUUUGGAUGGACUCGCGGCUUAUCAGCCUGUUGGUGGGGUAGUGGCUUACCAAGGCGUUGACGGGUAGCCGGCCUGAGAGGGCGACCGGCCACAUUGGGACUGAGGGACGGCCCAGACUCCUACGGGAGGCAGCAGUGGAGAAUAUUGCACAAUGGGCGGGAGCCAGAUGCAGCAACGCCGCGGGCGGGAUGACGGCCUGCUGGUUGAAAACCGCGUUCAGCAUGGGCGAAGCUUGUAGUGACGGUACCUGCAGAGGAAGCACCGGCUAACUACGUG
RNAcentral lists this ribosomal RNA (465 nucleotides) under uncultured bacterium. RNAcentral describes it as "partial 16S ribosomal RNA". It matches the Rfam family "Bacterial small subunit ribosomal RNA", at positions 28 to 507 of the family's 1533-position model. The record is from RNAcentral.